Molecule: unclassified non-coding RNA, 200 nt
Filed under: soil metagenome
Description: partial contains internal transcribed spacer 2 and large subunit ribosomal RNA
Source: RNAcentral
AGCGUCAUUUCACCCCUCAAGCCUGGCUUGGUGUUGGGCGACGUCCUCUUCAGGGACGCGCCUCGAACGUUCGGCGGCGUGGCACCGGCUUUAAGCGUAGCAGAAUCUUGUCUUUCGCUUUGAAAGUCGGGGCCAUGUCUGCCGGAAGACCUACUCGCAAGGUUGACCUCGGAUCAGGCAGGGAUACCCGCUGAACUUAA